Xenia sp. Carnegie-2017 is the source of this 870-nucleotide long non-coding RNA. RefSeq lists it as uncharacterized. The transcript is spliced from 3 exons. The record is from RefSeq and is a predicted model, not a curated record. NCBI's taxonomy places the organism in Eukaryota, Metazoa, Cnidaria, Anthozoa, Malacalcyonacea, Xeniidae.
AAAGUGGAUGACUAAAGAAUUACAAUCUUUUGCAGUGCAUGGCAAGGGAAGCCCAAUCUUCACUUCUAUACUAUGCGGAACUUUUACUUCAUUGUGCGAAAAAUAAUUGCCAUCUAUUGUUUUUCCAGUGAUUGAACAUAAAAAAUUCACACUGUAGCCUUUGCUUCGCUACUGAUAUUCUGUUAGCUUUAUUUUUGAUCAAUAUAUUUUGUUGACUCAUUCAUAUAUACCUUUUAUUGUACUAUACAAUUUCAUCUCCAUCUUAAAAAUAUUAAUUUAAACAUAGAAUCCUGCACCUUUACUGGUUCUCCCUUCCUUGGUAAGUAAUAUCUUAUUUGUCUCAGACUUCUUGUAAUUCAUAGCGCCUCAAAGUUCACACAGUGUAAAGACCCCUGUGACGGUGUUAGAAGAAAACAUCAAUAGACGACAGUGACCAUCAUGUUUGAUGUUAGUUUUACAAAUUUGAAACCAUGACGAGCAAGUGGAUAUUUGUUGUGAUCUUUUGCGUCCUAACAAUUUCCACGAACAUCGCUGACAGCAUAUGCUGCAAUAGAAUUAAGGAAUUGGUGCAAAAAAAGAAAAACGCCUUUGCAACUCUUUGUGCAUGAGGAAACAAUCUCCCUCGGGGUUGCUGUGACGAUAUUAAGAAGGAAGUAAAGUCGUUUGAGGAUGCAUACCAGUCGUUAUGUGUUAAUUCAUCAAACAUCCUGGGGAACUCGAGCAUUCUAAAGAAUAAGCCGCAAUGGAUAACUUAGCUUCAAAAAUGGCUGCCAUCGAACUUAAGAGGUCAUAAGACGGUGCUCUGUUACAGAGCAACCGUGAAUGGUUGGAGCUCAAACAAAUUCCACAGUCUUUGUGACUCGAAGGGAC